Molecule: ribosomal RNA, 253 nt
Filed under: uncultured bacterium
Lineage: Bacteria
Description: partial 16S ribosomal RNA
Rfam family: Bacterial small subunit ribosomal RNA
Source: RNAcentral
UACGAAGGGGGCUAGCGUUGCUCGGAAUCACUGGGCGUAAAGCGCACGUAGGCGGAUCUUUAAGUCGGGGGUGAAAUCCUGGAGCUCAACUCCAGAACUGCCUUUGAUACUGGGGAUCUCGAGUCCGGGAGAGGUGAGUGGAACUCCGAGUGUAGAGGUGAAAUUCGUAGAUAUUCGGAAGAACACCAGUGGCGAAGGCGGCUCACUGGCCCGGUACUGACGCUGAGGUGCGAAAGCGUGGGGAGCAAACAGG